AGCAGAGGAUAUGGGGGAAGGGUCUGCACCUGGCAAGGCCCCACAAAGUCCUGCUCAGUUAGAGUUAGGAGUACAAGAGGUUUAGUGAGGGGGUGAUGUCUGUGAGAAAUAAAAGGGAGAAGAAGCAGGCUUGGGCUGGGAAAGCCCCAGACUGCUAAAGAGAUUUGACCUUAUCAGUUAACCCAGUUAGAAGUUCUAAAGUAACUGCUACCCUCAGAGCAGUCCCAUCUUAGCAGAAAUGACUAUGUCCCCAUCUCCGUGCCCUGCUGAGUCACUGGCUGGGAGUCUCUAGGAAUGAACCUGGCCAAGAUGCAAAAGCCUAGGUGAAGCCUGGGGGUGCCAACAGUGGUAAGGCGUCAGCUCAGCACAAUCCUUGUAGCUGUCGCUCUAGCAGCUGCAGCUUCUCAGUAGAAUCAGGAGAGGGCGCCCACGGACCUGUCUUUGCCUCGCUCCUAGCAAAGCCUCGCGACCGGGUUAAAGUCAAUCCCGAAGGACUUCAGAAUGUGGCCGUAUUUGGAGGAUUCUUCACCACUGAGUCAUCUGGGAAGCCUGACAAAAACAGAUCAGCCAAUACACUGAUGUCUUGGAGGAUUCACCAGAUUUCUUCUGUACAUGGGGACAGCUCCUAUGGUGGAAAAUGGCAAUUUACAUGGGAUAAGACUUCUACCUGACCUUACCUGUGUGUCCUCUGCAAGCUUAUCCAGCUGAAUAAAGAACUAUAGAUUCUGCAGAUAUAAAUGUGAAGAACAUGGAACUUCAUUGACUCAACUGUGAUGUGUAAGACUCUGCCACAUACCUUGCUCUAAUGAAACUCCUACAUUGUAUUGAGUUGUACUCAAUAUAGUGAUAUUUUCAAAGAGGUGCUUAUUAA
Bos taurus (domestic cattle) is the source of this 871-nucleotide long non-coding RNA. NCBI's taxonomy places the organism in Eukaryota, Metazoa, Chordata, Mammalia, Artiodactyla, Bovidae. The record is from Ensembl.